AACGAACGCUGGCGGCAUGCCUAACACAUGCAAGUCGAACGAUGCCUUCGGGCAUAGUGUCGCACGGGUGCGUAACGCGUGGGAAUCUGCCUUUCGGUUCGGAAUAACUCAGGGAAACUUGAGCUAAUACCGGAUAACGUCGCAAGACCAAAGAUUUAUCACCGAAAGAUGAGCCCGCGUAGGAUUAGCUAGUUGGUGAGGUAAAGGCUCACCAAGGCGACGAUCCUUAGCUGGUCUGAGAGGAUGAUCAGCCACACUGGGACUGAGACACGGCCCAGACUCCUACGGGAGGCAGCAGUGGGGAAUAUUGGAAAAUGGGCGAAAGCAUGAACCAGCAAUGCCGCGUGAGUGAUGAAGGCAUUAGGGUUGUAAAGCUCUUUUACCCGGGAAGAUAAUGACGGUACCGGGAGAAUAAGCCCCGGCUAACUCCGUG
Molecule: ribosomal RNA, 433 nt
Filed under: uncultured bacterium
Lineage: Bacteria
Description: partial 16S ribosomal RNA
Rfam family: Bacterial small subunit ribosomal RNA
Source: RNAcentral